AACGAACGCUGGCGGCGUGCUUAACACAUGCAAGUCAGGGAGAAAGUCUCUUCGGGGAUGAUUAAACCGGCGCACGGGUGAGUAACACGUGAGUGACCUGCCUUUUAGACUGGAACAACUUACCGAAAGGUGAGCUAAUGCCGGAUGAGUUAUAUAAGUGCAUGUUUAUAUAGGAAAAGUUGGGGAGACCUGACGCUGAAAGAUGGACUCGCGUCCCAUUAGCUAGUUGGUAGGGUAAUGGCCUACCAAGGCGACGAUGGGUAGCCGGCCUGAGAGGGUGGCCGGCCACACUGGGACUGAGACACGGCCCAGACUCCUACGGGAGGCAGCAGUGGGGAAUUUUGCGCAAUGCUCGUAAGAGUGACGCAGCGACGCCGCGUGAAUGACGAAGGCCUUCGGGUCGUAAAGUUCUUUCGACAGGGAAGAAAAUGCCUAUAAGUAACUGUGUAUGUAU
RNAcentral lists this ribosomal RNA (454 nucleotides) under uncultured bacterium. RNAcentral describes it as "bacterial SSU rRNA". It matches the Rfam family "Bacterial small subunit ribosomal RNA", at positions 29 to 484 of the family's 1533-position model. The record is from RNAcentral.